Molecule: ribosomal RNA, 497 nt
Filed under: uncultured bacterium
Lineage: Bacteria
Description: partial 16S ribosomal RNA
Rfam family: Bacterial small subunit ribosomal RNA
Source: RNAcentral
GACGAACGCUGGCGGCGUGCCUAAUACAUGCAAGUUGAGCGAUGAAGAUUGGUGCUUGCACCAAUUUGAAGAGCAGCGAACGGGUGAGUAACGCGUGGGGAAUCUGCCUUUGAGCGGGGGACAACAUUUGGAAACGAAUGCUAAUACCGCAUAACAACUUUAGACAUAAGUUUUAAGUUUGAAAGAUGCAAUUGCAUCACUCAAAGAUGAUCCCGCGUUGUAUUAGCUAGUUGGUGAGGUAAAGGCUCACCAAGGCGAUGAUACAUAGCCGACCUGAGAGGGUGAUCGGCCACAUUGGGACUGAGACACGGCCCAAACUCCUACGGGAGGCAGCAGUAGGGAAUCUUCGGCAAUGGACGAAAGUCUGACCGAGCAACGCCGCGUGAGUGAAGAAGGUUUUCGGAUCGUAAAACUCUGUUGGUAGAGAAGAACGUUGGUGAGAGUGGAAAGCUCAUCAAGUGACGGUAACUACCCAGAAAGGGACGGCUAACUACGUG